AUACGUAGGGGGCGAGCGUUGUCCGGAAUGAUUGGGCGUAAAGGGCGCGUAGGCGGCCCGGUAAGUCUGGAGUGAAAGUCCUGUUUUUAAGAUGGGAAUUGCUUUGGAUACUGUCGGGCUUGAGUGCAGGAGAGGUAAGUGGAAUUCCCAGUGUAGCGGUGAAAUGCGUAGAGAUUGGGAGGAACACCAGUGGCGAAGGCGACUUACUGGACUGUAACUGACGCUGAGGCGCGAAAGUGUGGGGAGCAAACAGGAUUAGAUACCCUGGUAGUCCACACUGUACACGAUGAAUGCUAGGUGUAGGGGGUAUCGACCCCUUCUGUGCCGCAGUCAACACAAUAAGCAUUCCGCCUGGGGAGUACGGCCGCAAGGUUGAAACUCAAAGGAAUUGACGGGG
Molecule: ribosomal RNA, 397 nt
Filed under: uncultured bacterium
Lineage: Bacteria
Description: partial 16S ribosomal RNA
Rfam family: Bacterial small subunit ribosomal RNA
Source: RNAcentral